Prunus avium (sweet cherry) is the source of this 76-nucleotide non-coding RNA. The record is from RefSeq and is a predicted model, not a curated record. NCBI's taxonomy places the organism in Eukaryota, Viridiplantae, Streptophyta, Magnoliopsida, Rosales, Rosaceae.
UUGGUUAAGUUGUUGAAGACGCAGCUUGGACGAGAGGGGAAAAUCCUGCAGGUGGUAGAGACCGUGAGCAGGAGAA